UUGCAUAAAGUCCAAAAAACCGUCCGCUCUCCUUGUCCAAACAAAUCGUCACUCUUACUCUUCCUCUUAACCUUUUCGCAACAAAUCGUCACUCUUACUCUUCCUCUUUACCUUUUCGCAACUUCCUUCCCCAUUUCCUACGAGGAGAAGCUCAAAACCAGAAAAACAAACCCUAAUCAGUCACUCAAGGAAAUCCCACAAUUUCCCACAUAAACCCUCCCCUGAUUUAACACUCCAUCCCUCUUCACCAUCCGACCUCUCAAUUUCAAAUCCCAAUGACAACCAGCAUCCAUAUCACCGCCUUAGACGGGAUCGUAAAUGUGAACUCCCUCUUCACACUAGCCGUCUUCAUUGGCCUAGCUUGGAACCCAACUGAUCCCACCAACACUCUUAUUGGCCCCAAUGACCCCAUCUCCUGCUCUCCAAGCCCCAAAAUCGCUGAAGAUUUGAUCGCCUUCCACGUGUAC
This 467-nucleotide long non-coding RNA is filed under the name Populus trichocarpa (black cottonwood). RNAcentral's name for it is "long non-coding RNA (PTRI_LNC002601)". Lineage: Eukaryota; Viridiplantae; Streptophyta; Magnoliopsida; Malpighiales; Salicaceae. The record is from RNAcentral.